Non-coding RNA from Oidiodendron maius Zn, 95 nucleotides. The record is from Rfam. Lineage: Eukaryota; Fungi; Ascomycota; Leotiomycetes; Myxotrichaceae.
GGCCGGAUGGCGCAGUGGUCGUGCGCCCGGCAGUCCCAAAAGUCUUUCAACUUGAUUGAAUGUGAGGGUCGCUGGUUCGAGCCCAGCUCUGGCCG